RNAcentral lists this non-coding RNA (117 nucleotides) under Gorilla gorilla gorilla (western lowland gorilla). Lineage: Eukaryota; Metazoa; Chordata; Mammalia; Primates; Hominidae. The record is from Rfam by way of RNAcentral.
GCCGGGCGUGGUGGCUCACGCCUGUAAUCCUAGCACUUUGGGAGGCUGAGGUGGUUGAAUCACCUGAGGUCAGGAGUUCAAGACCAGCCUGGCCAACAUGGUGAAACCCCAUCUCUA